CCCGACGCACCCUAAGAGCUUUCGGCUGGAAUCGGAUGCGGCGUUCUAGAGGCUUCCGCCAGUCCGCCGGAGCUGGGCAUGAAAACUUCAGGACUGGCGGAAGGGCAACGGACGAAGCGAAAACCCGGAACGCCACCAAGCCCCAGUUGGAGGUUGGCCGACGGCAGGUCCGUCUGGUGUGAUGCUGUUUGGAAUUUCCCUUUCAACCUCUGGUGGUAUUAAAAAUAUAUAAAUUCAGCUUUUAAAA
This is a long non-coding RNA of Crotalus tigris (Tiger rattlesnake), 247 nucleotides long. RefSeq lists it as uncharacterized. NCBI's taxonomy places the organism in Eukaryota, Metazoa, Chordata, Lepidosauria, Squamata, Viperidae. The transcript has 2 exons. The record is from RefSeq and is a predicted model, not a curated record.